This 445-nucleotide ribosomal RNA is filed under the name uncultured Dyella sp. Its description in RNAcentral is "bacterial SSU rRNA". It matches the Rfam family "Bacterial small subunit ribosomal RNA", at positions 35 to 477 of the family's 1533-position model. The record is from RNAcentral. Lineage: Bacteria; Pseudomonadati; Pseudomonadota; Gammaproteobacteria; Lysobacterales; Rhodanobacteraceae.
GCUGGCGGCAUCUAACACAUGCAGUCGAACGGCAGCACAGCAGAGCUUGCUCUGUGGGUGGCGAGUGGCGGACGGGUGAGUAAUGCAUCGGGACCUACCUAGACGUGGGGGAUAACGUAGGGAAACUUACGCUAAUACCGCAUACGUCCUACGGGAGAAAGCAGGUGACCUUCGGGCCUUGCGCGGUUAGACGGACCGAUGUCGAUUAGCUUGUUGGUGAGGUAAUGGCUCACCAAGGCGACGAUCGAUAGCUGGUCUGAGAGGAUGAUCAGCCACACUGGAACUGAGACACGGUCCAGACUCCUACGGGAGGCAGCAGUGGGGAAUAUUGGACAAUGGGGGCAACCCUGAUCCAGCCAUGCCGCGUGCGGGAAGAAGGCCUUCGGGUUGUAAACCGCUUUUAGCCGGGACGAAAGCGCCACGGAUAACACCCGUGGUGGUUGAA